Uloborus diversus is the source of this 328-nucleotide long non-coding RNA. RefSeq lists it as uncharacterized. Lineage: Eukaryota; Metazoa; Arthropoda; Arachnida; Araneae; Uloboridae. The record is from RefSeq and is a predicted model, not a curated record. The transcript is spliced from 3 exons.
UGAGAGGAUACAUUUCCGUUUUCAACGAACAGUCAAUCCUUAUAACAGAGAAAAUACCGAAGUUUGUCCCAUCGUCCUUGGAUUGAAAUUGAUGACUUGAUUUCACAAUGCGUACUAAAUAUUAUAUCUGAAUCUACAAUGGGAUGUAAAGUAAAUUCUCAAUUGAACAAAACAGAUGCUGAAGCCUACUUGAAAACAUUUCACGAUUUCUCUGAAAUUUUGAUGCAUCGUGUAAUGAGACCAUGGACUUAUAAUGACACUUUGUUUUUUCGUUGCUUUCCCACCGGAAGAAAUUUUCUGAACCUAUUGGAGCGUAUGAAGACAAUCC